RNAcentral lists this ribosomal RNA (336 nucleotides) under uncultured bacterium. RNAcentral describes it as "bacterial SSU rRNA". It matches the Rfam family "Bacterial small subunit ribosomal RNA", at positions 29 to 392 of the family's 1533-position model. The record is from RNAcentral.
AACGAACGCUGGCGGCAUGCCUAACACAUGCAAGUCGAACGAGACCUUCGGGUCUAGUGGCGCACGGGUGCGUAACGCGUGGGAAUCUGCCCUUGGGUUCGGAAUAACAGUUAGAAAUGACUGCUAAUACCGGAUGAUGUCUUCGGACCAAAGAUUUAUCGCCCAGGGAUGAGCCCGCGUAGGAUUAGCUAGUUGGUGGGGUAAAGGCCUACCAAGGCGACGAUCCUUAGCUGGUCUGAGAGGAUGAUCAGCCACACUGGGACUGAGACACGGCCUAGACUCCUACGGGAGGCAGCAGUGGGGAAUAUUGGACAAUGGGCGAAAGCCUGAUCCAGC